CCUGUUUUGUUUUGGUUUCAGGUUGUUUCUUGGGUUUUUUUCUUGCUCAAACAUUCAUCUGAAUGAAUAUAGAGAAAUAACCAACUUUCAUCUGCCACUUCUUAUGGGAAGACAAUCUACUUUCGUUCUUUUGGGCAUUUAGAAAAUGUUCGUUGCUGUCAGCAACCCAAAAGAUGAGCUCCCUGCCCGAUAUGGGGCUUGAACUCAUGACCUCGAGAUCAAGAGUCAUAUGCUGUACUGACUGAGCCAACCAAGCACCCCUCACCUGUUCUCUUGAUAAAGACUUCUCUUGUAUUGACAAACCCGCUUUCUAAUGGUGAGUGAAUUUAUAUUCUUUGUAUUCUUAUAUGUUAUAAGGAUGUAUACUUCUUUUUAAGUUUAUUUUUAUUUAUUUUGAGAGAGAGCGAGUAAGCAGGGAAGGGGGCCUGGAAAGAGGGAGAGAGAGAGAAUCCCAAGCAGGCUCCACACUGUCAGUGCAGAGCCUGACGUGGCUCAAACUCAUGAACUGUGAGAUCAUGACCUGAGCCAAAGUCAAGAGUCAGACGCUUAACCGACUGAGCCACCCAGGUGCCCCUAAGAAUAUAUAUUCUUAUGCAAUAAAUAAUUAUUUUAAAAUGUUAAGUUAGCCCAAAAUAUGGAAUCCCAAAUAAUUACUUUCCAUUUCAUAAACCUAAGCAAGUAGGUCAUUAGCUGUCCUAUAUGUCUUUGUAUUAAAUAUUUGCCAUUUUACAAAUAACAAGUUUUCCACAAAACAUGUUCUGGGCAGAGCUUUAGAACACGGCCAUGGUUUAUCAAAACAUGAAAAGUGUGACUGAAUUCAGGGAGCCCAUCUGACUCAGAGAACAUAAUUUCUGUUCAGCCACUGGCAAAUGAGAACGUCAAACAUUGUGGCAAUUUUUAAAGCAAACCAAAGCGGACAGUGAAGAGCGUAUGGUAACUUCUCUUAAAGCUGAAGCCGGUCUCUUUGGGACACUAGGGUGUUGUAAAAAAGAAAGAAGAUGUAGUCAUCACUUCCCGUCUAAACACUAAGACAUAAUGGACACUAUUCCAAAAGCCGCUCCUUCUAGGGACUAAGUACCUUGGAGACCUCAGAAAGAACAGGCAGCAACAGGAGGAAUCCAAAUAGAAAGAAAAGAAAACUGAGACCCCAGCCCCCUCCUGCCACAGCCUGGUUUAUUAAGGGUUGUAAAAACCCCGAGGCCCAGGAAUUCUGGUGAGCCCCUCAAAUUCCCAAAGGCAGGCAGGAAGCUAGAAGUUUCCUUGUUUUGAGAGAAAGUUUUCUCCAAAUCCCAGUGGAAAACCAGUCCAGAGACCAGGAAGUGAAACUGAUGUGGAUGCUUUGUUUGUUGGGGCAAAUCGUCUGAAUUUCUGAAAUUAACCUGUGCCGCGAAAACAUCCUGCUGGAAGGCUGUGGGUUGAAUUCAAAUCUCAAGGUGUCAGGUCAGGGAUAGGCUAUGACACGGGGUAGUUGAUGAGCCCAAGGCCACCCCAGAAGAACUGGGCAAGGCCUAUAGGCCCUCCUGGGAAACAGCCACGGAGCUCCAGAAGACAGCCACGGAAGUGCUGUCCAGGAACUGAGAGCCUCAGCCUGGUAUCCUGUGCAAAUAACUACCUUAGACUUUUUACUAACCCCAAAAUAAAUUUAUUUCCAGAUUGUAGGGGGAAAUGGAGCAAACAUAAUGCUUUCUCUGAGAUCAAAGCCAAGGCAGGGAUACAAACCUUGCUCAUUUAGACUCUCGCCCAGGCGCAGACAGGAAUGCCAGAGAGCUCACAGCGGUCUCAUUUCCUGAGGGCUGAAACUCACAGGAGAUGGUGUCUUCAGAAGUUAUGUUUGUGAGACAUCACACUCCAGUAACUUCGUGACUGAUAUUCAAUUGUCCUGCCUAUGCCAGUGUUUGUUCAGGCCAACUCUGACGAAGAAUGAACGUGUGUUUAUAUUUAGAAAAUUUCUGCAUUUGAGUGUGUUUGCUCUUAAAUCACUUCAAGUGGCUUUCUUGAUUUUAGCAAACUAAAAUGAUUUAUACUAAAGCUAACCAUACACAUACCCUAUGACCCAGGGACUGCUCCUAGAUAUGUACUCAAUAGAAAUGCACACACAUAUGCACAAAAGGCAUAUUCAAAAGAAUUCAUAGCGGAAUUAUCCAUAAUAGCCAAAACCCUGGAAGCAAUCCAAACAUCCAUCGACAAUAGAAUGGAUAAGUAGUGAUAUACUCCUACAAUAGAAUACCCUAGAACAAUGAGUGACUCUUAGGUACACAAUCUUGAGUAAAAGAAACCAGACACAAAUAAGCACACACUGUAUGGUAAAUUUCAAAACUGGGCAAGAAAAAUCAGUGGUAUUAGAAGUCAGAAUAGUGGCUAUCCUUGGGGAAGGGAGUGAGUGUGUUAGCUAGGGGAACACAUAAAAGGAGCUUCUGGGGUGAUGAUAAUCUAUUUCUUAACCUGGCUUGUAUUUA
Long non-coding RNA from Acinonyx jubatus (cheetah), 2456 nucleotides. RefSeq lists it as uncharacterized. The record is from RefSeq and is a predicted model, not a curated record. Lineage: Eukaryota; Metazoa; Chordata; Mammalia; Carnivora; Felidae. The transcript is spliced from 2 exons.